CCAUACUCAAAUGAAGAAGCAGAAUAUGUGCUUUUGAUAAUACAUUAAAAAAUUGUAUCAAAAUUUCUAUGGAGAAGAGAGACGAUCAUCAUCAGCAAAUGAUGAAGACUGACAUUUCCAUGGCAAAUUCCACCACAUUCAUCACGGAGGAGAUGUCCAUCAGUAGUUUUGCUUUUUCUUCAUCACCUUCUACAACUCCUACAACAUCAACAAGCAUCUUUGACAUGAUGAUGAUGCCAUGUGAUAUUUCUGAUAAAGCCUCUUUAGGCUUCGUGGACUUGCUUGAUGGGAACCAAGAUUUUGGUUCCUCUUCAUUAUUCGAUUGGUUUCAGGUUCAGCCUCCCCCGAUUCUUCCCCAGCAACCUUUACCUUCACCGGCAUCUACUGUUCCUGAAUCAUCUGAGGUCUUGAACCCCCCGGCCCCUCCUAACUCCUCCUCGAUCUCUUCUUCCUCCAAUGAAGCAGGAAAUGAUUCACAAGCUAAGGCUGGAGAUGAGGAAGAGCAGGAUCAAGAAAAGAACAAGAAACAGUUGAAACCCAAAAAGAAGAACCAAAAAAGGCAAAGAGAGNUUUGUCGCGUAUCUAUUAUAUACAGUGUGUCCUUAGCUAGUUAGCUAGCUAGCUUUUGGAAAAUAUGAACAAGAAACAAAAAGCGAUAUAAGUCUGUUGGGAGAAACGGGAACUGGUAAAUCUCUGCAAUUAAACUUGAUUAAGAGUUUUAUGG
This 724-nucleotide unclassified non-coding RNA is filed under the name Hevea brasiliensis (rubber tree). The record is from RNAcentral. Lineage: Eukaryota; Viridiplantae; Streptophyta; Magnoliopsida; Malpighiales; Euphorbiaceae.